GGCCCCGCACAAGCAGCGGAGCGUGUGGUUUAAUUCGUUGCUACACGAAGAACCUUACCUGGGUUUGACAUAAUGGUGGUAGGGAUCCGAAAGGUGACCGACCCUUCGGGGAGCCGUUACAGGUGUUGCAUGGCUGUCGUCAGCUCGUGUCGUGAGAUGUUCGGUUAAGUCCGCUAACGAGCGCAACCCUCGCUGUGUGUUACAAGUGUCACACAGGACUGCCGGUACUAAGCCGGAGGAAGGUGGGGAUGACGUCAAGUCAGCAUGACCUUUAUAUCCAGGGCUACACACACGCUACAAUGGCCAGUACAAUGGGCUGCGAAGCCGCGAGGCGGAGCCAAUCCUCCAAAACUGGCCUCAGUUCAGAUUGCAGUCUGCAACCCGACUGCAUGAAGUUGGAGUUGCUAGUAAACGCAGGUCAGCUAUACUGCGUUGAAUACGUUCCCGGGGCUU
RNAcentral lists this ribosomal RNA (453 nucleotides) under uncultured bacterium. Its description in RNAcentral is "bacterial SSU rRNA". It matches the Rfam family "Bacterial small subunit ribosomal RNA", at positions 917 to 1382 of the family's 1533-position model. The record is from RNAcentral.